UGGGGAAUUUUGGACAAUGGGCGAAAGCCUGAUCCAGCAAUGCCGCGUGUGUGAAGAAGGCCUUCGGGUUGUAAAGCACUUUUGUCCGGAAAGAAAUCCUCUGGGUUAAUACCUCGGGGGGAUGACGGUACCGGAAGAAUAAGCACCGGCUAACUACGUGCCAGCAGCCGCGGUAAUACGUAGGGUGCAAGCGUUAAUCGGAAUUACUGGGCGUAAAGCGUGCGCAGGCGGUUUUGUAAGACGGAUGUGAAAUCCCCGGGCUUAACCUGGGAACUGCAUUCGNGACUGCAAGGCUAGAGUAUGGCAGAGGGGGGUAGAAUUCCACGUGUAGCAGUGAAAUGCGUAGAGAUGUGGAGGAAUACCGAUGGCGAAGGCAGCCCCCUGGGCCAAUACUGACGCUCAUGCACGAAAGCGUGGGGAGCAAACA
RNAcentral lists this ribosomal RNA (427 nucleotides) under uncultured bacterium. RNAcentral describes it as "bacterial SSU rRNA". It matches the Rfam family "Bacterial small subunit ribosomal RNA", at positions 355 to 774 of the family's 1533-position model. The record is from RNAcentral.